Molecule: ribosomal RNA, 254 nt
Filed under: uncultured bacterium
Lineage: Bacteria
Description: partial 16S ribosomal RNA
Rfam family: Bacterial small subunit ribosomal RNA
Source: RNAcentral
UACGUAGGGGGCGAGCGUUGUCCGAAUUUACUGGGCGUAAAGCGCGCGUAGGCGGUUUCUUAAGUCUGGGGUGAAAGGUUCAGCGCUCAACGUGAACAGUGCCUUGGAUACUGGGAGACUUGAGUCUGGGAGGGGGCAGUGGAAUUCCUGGUGUAGCGGUGAAAUGCGUAGAUAUCAGGAGGAACACCGGUGGCGAAGGCGGCUGCCUGGCCUAAGACUGACGCUGAGGUGCGAAAGCGUGGGUAGCGAACGGG